This is a non-coding RNA of Triticum aestivum (bread wheat), 115 nucleotides long. The record is from Rfam. Lineage: Eukaryota; Viridiplantae; Streptophyta; Magnoliopsida; Poales; Poaceae.
CAUAUACUCUUUCCUUUCGGAAUUACUUGUCUCGGAAAUGGAUGUAUCUAGACAUAUGUUAGUUCUAGAUACAUCCAUUGACGAGACAAGUAAUUCCGAACGGAGGGAGUAGAAA